Molecule: ribosomal RNA, 2210 nt
Filed under: Escherichia coli
Lineage: Bacteria; Pseudomonadati; Pseudomonadota; Gammaproteobacteria; Enterobacterales; Enterobacteriaceae
Description: partial 23S ribosomal RNA
Rfam family: Bacterial large subunit ribosomal RNA
Source: RNAcentral
UGUAUAAUGGGUCAGCGACUUAUAUUCUGUAGCAAGGUUAACCGAAUAGGGGAGCCGAAGGGAAACCGAGUCUUAACUGGGCGUUAAGUUGCAGGGUAUAGACCCGAAACCCGGUGAUCUAGCCAUGGGCAGGUUGAAGGUUGGGUAACACUAACUGGAGGACCGAACCGACUAAUGUUGAAAAAUUAGCGGAUGACUUGUGGCUGGGGGUGAAAGGCCAAUCAAACCGGGAGAUAGCUGGUUCUCCCCGAAAGCUAUUUAGGUAGCGCCUCGUGAAUUCAUCUCCGGGGGUAGAGCACUGUUUCGGCAAGGGGGUCAUCCCGACUUACCAACCCGAUGCAAACUGCGAAUACCGGAGAAUGUUAUCACGGGAGACACACGGCGGGUGCUAACGUCCGUCGUGAAGAGGGAAACAACCCAGACCGCCAGCUAAGGUCCCAAAGUCAUGGUUAAGUGGGAAACGAUGUGGGAAGGCCCAGACAGCCAGGAUGUUGGCUUAGAAGCAGCCAUCAUUUAAAGAAAGCGUAAUAGCUCACUGGUCGAGUCGGCCUGCGCGGAAGAUGUAACGGGGCUAAACCAUGCACCGAAGCUGCGGCAGCGACGCUUAUGCGUUGUUGGGUAGGGGAGCGUUCUGUAAGCCUGUGAAGGUGUACUGUGAGGUAUGCUGGAGGUAUCAGAAGUGCGAAUGCUGACAUAAGUAACGAUAAAGCGGGUGAAAAGCCCGCUCGCCGGAAGACCAAGGGUUCCUGUCCAACGUUAAUCGGGGCAGGGUGAGUCGACCCCUAAGGCGAGGCCGAAAGGCGUAGUCGAUGGGAAACAGGUUAAUAUUCCUGUACUUGGUGUUACUGCGAAGGGGGGACGGAGAAGGCUAUGUUGGCCGGGCGACGGUUGUCCCGGUUUAAGCGUGUAGGCUGGUUUUCCAGGCAAAUCCGGAAAAUCAAGGCUGAGGCGUGAUGACGAGGCACUACGGUGCUGAAGCAACAAAUGCCCUGCUUCCAGGAAAAGCCUCUAAGCAUCAGGUAACAUCAAAUCGUACCCCAAACCGACACAGGUGGUCAGGUAGAGAAUACCAAGGCGCUUGAGAGAACUCGGGUGAAGGAACUAGGCAAAAUGGUGCCGUAACUUCGGGAGAAGGCACGCUGAUAUGUAGGUGAAGCGACUUGCUCGUGGAGCUGAAAUCAGUCGAAGAUACCAGCUGGCUGCAACUGUUUAUUAAAAACACAGCACUGUGCAAACACGAAAGUGGACGUAUACGGUGUGACGCCUGCCCGGUGCCGGAAGGUUAAUUGAUGGGGUUAGCGGUAACGCGAAGCUCUUGAUCGAAGCCCCGGUAAACGGCGGCCGUAACUAUAACGGUCCUAAGGUAGCGAAAUUCCUUGUCGGGUAAGUUCCGACCUGCACGAAUGGCGUAAUGAUGGCCAGGCUGUCUCCACCCGAGACUCAGUGAAAUUGAACUCGCUGUGAAGAUGCAGUGUACCCGCGGCAAGACGGAAAGACCCCGUGAACCUUUACUAUAGCUUGACACUGAACAUUGAGCCUUGAUGUGUAGGAUAGGUGGGAGGCUUUGAAGUGUGGACGCCAGUCUGCAUGGAGCCGGCCUUGAAAUACCACCCUUUAAUGUUUGAUGUUCUAACGUUGGCCCCUGAUCGGGGUUGCGGACAGUGUCUGGUGGGUAGUUUGACUGGGGCGGUCUCCUCCUAAAGAGUAACGGAGGAGCACGAAGGUUGGCUAAUCCUGGUCGGACAUCAGGAGGUUAGUGCAAUGGCAUAAGCCAGCUUGACUGCGAGCGUGACGGCGCGAGCAGGUGCGAAAGCAGGUCAUAGUGAUCCGGUGGUUCUGAAUGGAAGGGCCAUCGCUCAACGGAUAAAAGGUACUCCGGGGAUAACAGGCUGAUACCGCCCAAGAGUUCAUAUCGACGGCGGUGUUUGGCACCUCGAUGUCGGCUCAUCACAUCCUGGGGCUGAAGUAGGUCCCAAGGGUAUGGCUGUUCGCCAUUUAAAGUGGUACGCGAGCUGGGUUUAGAACGUCGUGAGACAGUUCGGUCCCUAUCUGCCGUGGGCGCUGGAGAACUGAGGGGGGCUGCUCCUAGUACGAGAGGACCGGAGUGGACGCAUCACUGGUGUUCGGGUUGUCAUGCCAAUGGCACUGCCCGGUAGCUAAAUGCGGAAGAGAUAAGUGCUGAAAGCAUCUAAGCACGAAACUUGCCCCGA